AAGCUGGAAGUUAAAAGGGAGGAGUACUAGAAACUGAGGUAAGGGUUUUUAGCCACAGACUGUGAAUUGUGUAUUAAACCUCCCCACCACGUGUUCAGAAGGGAAUUGAAUGCAAGGAGCUAGAUGAUGUGCAAGGCCUCUUUCCACCCAGUUCUGGCAGUGCUGCUGGGAGGUACAGGGUGCCUUUCCCUGACGUUGUGUGUGAUUAAUCAUCUUGAAAUGACACAUGGGAGAAAACAUUUCAGAUCUGCAGCUUAUUUUCAGAAAGUUUCUUAUUAAAAUCCCCUGUUCCUUUCUCCAUCCCUUGCACCUUUUCCUCCUUCUCUUCCUCACCUGAGGACUACAGGUGACUUUUGCAUGCAACAUGUUUUCUCUCAUCAGCUCCUUGAAGGCUAAGCCCCUGAUCUUCUGCAAAAAUGCCACUUCUUAUUAAUGUUUUAUGAACUGAGCUUAUUAACCUGACUUUCAUUUUGUGUAAACUGUAAUUAAAAUGUAUGAAGAACUUGACUUGCAUUUGCCCUUCUGGGUUGAUUGUUUGGUCUGCCGAAACAGCAUCCAUCAAGAUCAUAACAAGAUGUGGGGUUUUUUGGUUGUUUUUUUCUUUUUUAAGGGAGACUUGAGUCAUUUCAUGGGGGUCAACUGGAGCCCAGGAAUGCCUUUUCCUUUUGGCAAGACUUCUGCAGCCAUGUGUGUUUACUGUGGACCUCUAGCUGGAAAUGCAGAGAUGCCUGAUCUGAUUAUCUCUGCUUCUGCUUCUUUACGCUGCGCUGCAUGUGGUCUGCUUUUUACAACCCAGGAUUCACACAAUGAAUUUUUAGGGUUGAGUCAGACACUCAGCUUUGGCAACAGCUCUCUACAGUGUAAUAUUGGCAAGACUGCCACAACGUCUCGUGGAUCAAGCACAUCAGUUCUUUGCUUCAUCUUGAAGGAGUCUGUGAUGUCCUCUUCCACAAAUCUGAACGACAACUCACAUUGUUGUGUGCAUCUCAAGCCUUUACAUGUAAUGCUGCAUGCCCUACAUUUAGAGGCUCAUGCUCAUCUCCAAAGGAUGCUGCAAGUCUCGCUGAGAGCGGCCACACCUUCCUGCCCAAGUUGGGAGCAUGGUGAGCUCGUGCAGGAGAGCCAUAGGAAGCUGGUGGUGCAGAGGGACGUGCUGUGCAACAUGAACUUUCUGCCCAUGCACAAGCUUAGGAAACAAUUCACUGUAGUGUCUUUACAUCGCUACGUGAUGCAGAAGGAUCGCUCUUUGCCAGCUGCCAAAUCAAGUGUUGUUGUACAGUCUCUGCCUUCAGCAACAUCCUCAGUGUUCUGGCAGUGGGACCCUUGA
Molecule: long non-coding RNA, 1327 nt
Filed under: Phasianus colchicus (ring-necked pheasant)
Lineage: Eukaryota; Metazoa; Chordata; Aves; Galliformes; Phasianidae
Description: lncRNA (ENSPCLG00000002030.1)
Source: RNAcentral